RNAcentral lists this ribosomal RNA (442 nucleotides) under uncultured bacterium. RNAcentral's name for it is "partial 16S ribosomal RNA". It matches the Rfam family "Bacterial small subunit ribosomal RNA", at positions 338 to 795 of the family's 1533-position model. The record is from RNAcentral.
CCUACGGGCGGCAGCAGUGGGGAAUAUUGGGCAAUGGGCGCAAGCCUGACCCAGCAACGCCGCGUGAAGGAAGAAUGCUCUCGGGUUGUAAACUUCUUUUGUCAGGGAAGAGUAGAAGACGGUACCUGACGAAUAAGCCACGGCUAACUACGUGCCAGCAGCCGCGGUAAUACGUAGGUGGCAAGCGUUGUCCGGAUUUACUGGGUUUAAAGGGCGUGUAGCCGGGUUGACAAGUCAGAUGUGAAAUCCUGCGGCUUAACCGGAGAACUGCAUUUGAAACUGUUGGUCUUGAGUACUGGAGAGGCAGAUGGAAUUCCUAGUGUAGCGGUGAAAUGCGUAGAUAUUAGGAAGAACACCAAUGGCGAAGGCAGUCUGCUAGACAGCAACUGACGGUGAGGCGCGAAAGCGUGGGGAGCAAACAGGAUUAGAUACCCGUGUAGUC